CUGAGAAACCCAAAAGAUCGAAUGGGGAGAUUCAUCGUCAACGAGGCUGGCCUCGGGGCGGUACGUGAUGUUGACGGUUUCGGCCGUCUGGCACGCGUCUGUCUCGUAACGCUUGGUCGCGUCGGCGUGCACUUCUCCCCUAGUAGAACGUCGCGACCCGUUGAGUGUCGGUCUAAGGCCUCGGUGGUUGUCUGUUCUCUUCCUUCACGGGAAGGGUCAGGCCCCGGGAUGCCCGGCCGGCUGCUCGGCGGUACACGCACGGUACAGGGUCGCAGUUAUCGACUGCGUCGGACCCGUCGCAAGCGCGGUUAGUUCUCGGACGUGCGGACCAAGUGCCGUCGCUGAGCCUGACCUGCUGUUGGCUGGCGGUGUUCUCUGACUGGCCCGCCACUUUUAUUAGUGAUUACCGGUCGGCGACGCUACUGCUUUGGGUACUUUCAGGACCCGUCUUGAAACACGGACCAAGGAGUCUAACAUGUGCGCGAGUCAUUGGGACAUGAAUGCCUAAAGGCGCAAUGAAAGUGAAGGUAGGCCUUGCGUCGACCGAGGGAGGAUGGGUCGCGUCUCGAUGCGACCCCGCACUCCCGGGGCGUCUCGUUCUCAUUGCGAGAUGAGGCGCAC
This 621-nucleotide ribosomal RNA is filed under the name Ceraphron thomsoni. RNAcentral's name for it is "partial 28S ribosomal RNA". It matches the Rfam family "Eukaryotic large subunit ribosomal RNA", at positions 421 to 794 of the family's 3401-position model. The record is from RNAcentral. Lineage: Eukaryota; Metazoa; Arthropoda; Insecta; Hymenoptera; Ceraphronidae.